UUCCUACGGGCGGCUGCAGUGGGGAAUAUUGGACAAUGGGCGAAAGUCUGAUCCAGCGACGCCGCGUGGGUGAAGAAGGCCUGCGGGUUGUAAAGCCCUUUCGGUGGGGAAGAAAAGCCUCGACCUAAUACGUCGGGGUCUUGACGUAACCCAAGAAAGAAGCACCGGCUAACUCUGUGCCAGCAGCCGCGGUAAUACAGAGGGUGCGAGCGUUAAUCGGAAUUACUGGGCGUAAAGCGCGCGUAGGCGGCUGUGCAAGUCGGGUGUGAAAUCCCCAGGCUUAACCGGGGAACUGCACUCGAGACUGCAUUGCUAGAGUAUGGGAGAGGGAAGUGGAAUUGCCGGUGUAGCGGUGAAAUGCGUAGAUAUCGGAAGGAACAUCAGUGGCGAAAGCGACUUCCUGGACCAAUACUGACGCUCAUGUGCGAAAGCGUGGGGAGCAAACAGGAUUAGAUACCCUUGUAGUCCAU
This 470-nucleotide ribosomal RNA is filed under the name uncultured Steroidobacter sp. RNAcentral's name for it is "bacterial SSU rRNA". It matches the Rfam family "Bacterial small subunit ribosomal RNA", at positions 336 to 798 of the family's 1533-position model. The record is from RNAcentral. Lineage: Bacteria; Pseudomonadati; Pseudomonadota; Gammaproteobacteria; Steroidobacterales; Steroidobacteraceae.